This 428-nucleotide ribosomal RNA is filed under the name uncultured bacterium. RNAcentral's name for it is "bacterial SSU rRNA". It matches the Rfam family "Bacterial small subunit ribosomal RNA", at positions 355 to 775 of the family's 1533-position model. The record is from RNAcentral.
UGGGGAAUCUUGCGCAAUGGGCGAAAGCCUGACGCAGCAACGCCGCGUGCGGGAAGAAGGCCUUCGGGUUGUAAACCGCUUUCAGCGGGGACGAAGCCGACUGGGUUAACUGCCCAGCGCGGUGACGGUACCCGCAGAAGAAGCCCCGGCUAACUACGUGCCAGCAGCCGCGGUAAUACGUAGGGGGCAAGCGUUGUCCGGAAUCAUUGGGCGUAAAGCGCGUGUAGGCGGCUUGGUGUGUCCGGUGUGAAACCUUGGGGCUCAACCCCAAGCCUGCACCGGAUACUGCCUCGCUUGAGUCCGGGAGGGGAGAGCGGAAUUCCUAGUGUAGCGGUGAAAUGCGCAGAUAUUAGGAAGAACACCGGUGGCGAAGGCGGCUCUCUGGAACGGUACUGACGCUGAGACGCGAAAGCGUGGGGAGCGAACAG